GAUGAACGCUAGCGAUAGGCUUAACACAUGCAGUCGAGGGGCAGCAUUAUCUUAGCUUGCUAAGAUAGAUGGCGACCGGCGCACGGGUGCGUAACGCGUAUGCAACCUGCCUGUAAUUAGGGAAUAACCCGGUGAAAGUCGGACUAAUGCCCUAUAUCUUCUUCUCCGCAUGGAGGAGGACGGAAAGAUUUAUUGAUUACAGAUGGGCAUGCGUCCCAUUAGCUGGUUGGUAAGGUAACGGCUUACCAAGGCAACGAUGGGUAGGGGGACUGAGAGGUUGACCCCCCACACUGGUACUGAGACACGGACCAGACUCCUACGGGAGGCAGCAGUGAGGAAUAUUGGUCAAUGGGCGAGAGCCUGAACCAGCCAAGUCGCGUGAAGGAGGACGGUUCUAUGGAUUGUAAACUUCUUUUGUAGAGGAAUAACGGCAGCUAACGUGUAGCUGAGAUGCAUGUACUCUACGAAUA
This 470-nucleotide ribosomal RNA is filed under the name Porphyromonas endodontalis. Its description in RNAcentral is "bacterial SSU rRNA". It matches the Rfam family "Bacterial small subunit ribosomal RNA", at positions 28 to 488 of the family's 1533-position model. The record is from RNAcentral. Lineage: Bacteria; Pseudomonadati; Bacteroidota; Bacteroidia; Bacteroidales; Porphyromonadaceae.